Molecule: long non-coding RNA, 348 nt
Filed under: Linum usitatissimum (flax)
Lineage: Eukaryota; Viridiplantae; Streptophyta; Magnoliopsida; Malpighiales; Linaceae
Description: long non-coding RNA (LUSI_LNC007805)
Source: RNAcentral
UUUUCUACUUCUUCUUCUUCUUCUUUGUCUUUUUCUCCUUUUUCUUCUGAUUCGAUUUUUCUUCUUCUUCAGUUUUUCUUCUUUCUCUCUUUCUUCUUUAUCUCCUUUGAUUCUUAUUCUUCCUCUUCUUUUAUUUUUCGUGUUUAAUUCUUGUUCUUCUUUUUCUUCUUCAGUUUUUCUUCUUUCUCUCUUUCUUCUUUAUCUCCUUUGAUUCUUAUUCUUCCUCUUCUUUUAUUUUUCGUGUUUAAUUCUUGUUCUUCUUUUUCUUCUUCAGUUUUUCUUUUUCUUUUUUUCUUCUUCAAUUCUUCUUCUUCUUCUAUUCCAUCUCCAAAGACAGAAAUGGAGAAA